RNAcentral lists this transfer RNA (74 nucleotides) under Chloroflexota bacterium. RNAcentral describes it as "Chloroflexi bacterium (hot springs metagenome) tRNA-Arg". RNAcentral also lists the same sequence under 1 other name. The record is from RNAcentral. Lineage: Bacteria; Bacillati; Chloroflexota.
GCCCCUAUAGCUCAAUCGGAUAGAGCAACCUCGUCCUAAGGGGUAGGUUCUGCGUUCGAGUCGCAGUAGGGGCG